AUGCUCACUUCAGCAGCACAUAUACUAAAAUUGGAACAAUACAGAGAAGGUAAGCAUGGCCCUGCUCAAGGAUGACACAUAAAUUUGUGAAGUGUUCUAUAUUAAA
Molecule: small nuclear RNA, 106 nt
Organism: Suncus etruscus (white-toothed pygmy shrew)
Lineage: Eukaryota; Metazoa; Chordata; Mammalia; Eulipotyphla; Soricidae
Source: RefSeq, a predicted model, not a curated record